Leopardus geoffroyi (Geoffroy's cat) is the source of this 5042-nucleotide long non-coding RNA. RefSeq lists it as uncharacterized. Lineage: Eukaryota; Metazoa; Chordata; Mammalia; Carnivora; Felidae. The transcript has 4 exons. The record is from RefSeq and is a predicted model, not a curated record.
CUGAGCUGAAGUUGGACAGUUAACCAACUGAGCCACGCGGGUACCCCAAAGUCAUUUUUUUUUUAAGUCCACUGACAUCACCUCAAAGGAAGUUGUGUGUUUCUUACAAAGAAAACUGCAGCAAAAAAUUUUAAAUUGUUUACUCUUUUUAUUUAGGUUUAGAUUUGGGAUAAGAGGGAGAAAACCUUAACAGAACAAAGGAGUUGUUGAUGUUAUGCCCAGUUAUCCAGAUAGGGUCAUGAUAGGCCUCAUGGUGGCCUGAGAGCAAAACAGACUACUUUGAGAAAUAAUUUGCCAGCAGUCUUCUUCAUUUCCGAAGCAGAUCUCCUCAAAGAGUUUUCUUGAAGAUGAUACAUAACUUGGGCAGGAAACGAUCUAUCCGAGGUUAAAAGUCCCACUGCAGGUGACUGGGAAGGAGAAAGUGAAAUUCUCAGCUCCGUCUCUGCUUGACUUGAUCAUAUAAGCUUAAUAUAAACAGCCCUGAGAAACAGGUCAGUAUUGCAAAUUAAAAAAAAACAAAACCCAAACCUAAGGAACAAGGAGAGAGGGGAAUUAGGUCUAGAUCUAAGUUUUAGCCUUAUGCUAGCUAAAAAUAAUCACUUGAAGUUUAUUCAUGAAUAUUUCAAAAUAAAUGUUUGCUCCCACCCCUUCCAUCUCUGAAGUUCCAUUAUCCCUACAUGUUCCCAGCAGCUCCUACCUUCUACCCCCGCUUGAAACUCACAAGUCUUUUUUCCCCUCUCUACAUACCUUUGGUAAACUCAGGGCUUUUUGGAACUCAGGAGCUUUGUAUGGGUCCCUUAAUUCACACCUGGAGUCACAACCUAGCGUUACAGUUCCAGUUGUCUUGGGGGCAUCUCCUCUCAGACUUACUGUCUUCUCUCAGCUUCACAGAUUGAAUGGAAUGAAGAAGUCUUGACCCGUGUUGUACUAAAUCAGAAUACAUCCCAAUUCUUCCUUUUUCCCUGAAGACAACUGCAGUUCUGUGUUCUGAAGUUUUCUCCACCUACCUCUCUCACAUUUGCCUCUCUGUCUUCCUAUUUAUCUCCCUAAAUUUCAAGCUGCAGAUCAGACCGUAUGUCUUGUGGAUGAAUUUCUUUUGAAAUGGGAUUCUGAUGGCAGGGAAGCAAGAUCAUUUAGUAUGCUAGAUUUCCAGUAACCCCUAUAGCUGUAGACCAGGGGUCGGCCAGCUAGUGCCUAUAGCCAGAUGUGCUGCAGGCCUAUUUUUGUGAAUAAAAUUUACGGAACAAAGCCACACUCAUUUGUUUAUGUAUUGCCUAUGGCUAUUUUGCAGGACAGUGGCAGAGUUAAGUAGUUGCAAUGGAGACAGUCUGGCCCACAGUGUCUAAGAUAAUAUUUUACUGUCUGGUCCUUUACAGAAAAAAAUGUACCAACCUUUGACAUAGGCCAGAGAGCAAACUGGGUUUGGGUAACUUGUAUCAUACACGUGGUUGUUUUAAAAAUAUAUCCAUAAAUCUUUUGAUACUCCUCUUUGAGAGGUAGAGCUUCAUUUUCCUCCCCUUGAAGUUUGGGCUGGACUUGCUUAGAAAUGGAAUCCAGCAGUGAUGGGCUGUCACUUCUGAGAUUAGGCUGUAAAAGGACAGGCUUCUGUCUUGGGUGUGCACUCUCCUGGAUCACUUGCUAUGGGAGAAGCUCUAUUGUGAGGAGACCGAGGCAGUCUUUGCUGAGAGAGACCCACAUGGCAAGUAGCUAUGGCUGGCAGCUAACGCUGAGGCUCCCCAGCCCACAGCCAUGUGGGUGAGCUUGGAAGCAGAUCCUUCAGCCCCAGUGGAGCCUUGGGAUCACUGCAGCCCCAGCCAACAGCUUGUCUGCUGCCUCAUUAGGGACCUUGAACCGGACCUGCUAAAUCCUAGGUUCCUCACACUCAGAAACCAUGUGGGACAAGCUGUUUGUUGUUCCAAGGUGCUGAGUUUAGGGGUAAUUUGUUACAUAGGAUUAUACAGCUAAUACAAUAAAGAGCUGCCCUGCCUGCCUCUCCCCCGCCCCCCAACACGUACCCAUUACUGCCAGCAAGAUCACCCAGGGUCUUGUGCCAUCCUGCCCCCACCCUGGGUCCAGAAAAUGAGGCUUGCCUUUUUGGAAUGAACACUUCUUGAAGAAAGCUCUGUGGGACUAGGUAGAACACAAAGCUUUCUCAUACAGAAUUUUGUUACCUGAACCACCCACAGGGUAAGUCUACAGUAUGUGCCUAAAAGUUAUCUUGUCCAGUAUUAAACCAUCUUAUCUAUGACAACUAAUUGGGGGGAGAAAUUAGACUCUCGCAGAAAAGUGUUUGCUGUGGAAAAUGAUGCAAAAAGAGGCAGGAUAGGUGAUCAGUUUUCAAAGCUGGAAAAAAAAACCCAAAAUCUCAAGAAAAUGAGAAAUAUUUCUACCUCAAAUGUCUUAGUUUCUAUCCUUAACAGGAGGCUGGUGACCCAUUGGCUCUAAAACGGCCUAUUCCAUUUCACAGGCAUUUGUGUCUUUCAAAAAAAGAGGAAAUUUUUUUCAAAGGUUCCAGAUCAGUUUGGUGACGGCCCCUCCCAUUUAAAACAGCCAUUUUCUUAACACUAAGAAUUUGAAUAAUUAGAUCACUUUUCCUACAAAAGAUUUUCUGAUAACAAGGAAUGGGUCCCCUUUCACACUAUAAAUUCUACUCAACUCUUGGCAUCAGCUUUAAGCAUGACUUUGAUGACAUUCCUUUAGCCAGAAUUGGGUAAGGUCCCGUAGGCAAUGGAUGUUAUUUCAAACCACUGUCUGGAAGCAAGCGGGAUAAAAGGUGGAUGUAGGGCUCCAUAAGGACCUGCCAAAUGGGGAGAAGGGUUCAUGCAGAAAGGGCAAACCAUUUCUCAGGUUUUCUAUUCCACUUUGUAAAGGAAAAGGGUUAUAUUCCAGGGACAGAAGUUAACAAAGGACACCCGCUCAUGUGCUGCAGUAAACAGCCUACCAUUUUUCAUAUGGACUGAAAUCAAGGCAAACAAGGUAAUCUUAACUCACUCUCAAUCUGACUGUUUGAUUAUAGUCAAAAACCUGGUGUGGUCUCUCCUGCUUCCCUUUCCUGUGACCACCCUGGGAGCUAUUGUAUGGAGAACCCUGACCCUUUCUCCUGAUAGCUCCCCUAAGUCCAUGACCAUUGCAGCAGGUCCUGCUGGAAGACAGUCAAGGGGUAGGAAGGACAGAAGAUGGUUACACCUGGGAAAUGGGGCCUGUGGGGAAGUGGGGGAGAGUGCUGAGGCGAGCUUUCACAACAUUCAUAGGUCCUUUUGAAAUAUCUGAUUUUUUUUUUUCUGACAAUGAUUAUGCAUUCCUUUUGUAAUGUUUCAUAAAAGAAGUCAAGGAAGCAACUUAAUCUUCUUUCUGCAAUUGUUGGCAUUCCUCUUCCUUCUGCUCAUGCCGCCUUCUCACCAACCAUCCAUCAUCCAGUAUGUGGCAGAAAGCAGAUAUGACUGAACUGACUGCUUUUCAUAUUCCCCAACAGAAAGACGAGGUGAAAGUUAAAGAGAAGUGAUCAACAUGAAAAUAAAUGUUUAACCUCACAAGUAAUCAAAGCAUGCAAAUUAAAACAACAAUUGGUUGCCUUCAAAUUGGCAAAGAUGAAAAAGAAGGGUGAUAUUCGGUGCUAAGGGGGUGGUGGGGAUAUGGUCACUCUCAUAUCUGAUCUUAGAAGAGUAAGUUAGUAUACCUUUUUGAGCAAGAACCUGGCAGCACUUACACCAAGUGGCAAAAAGCAGGUCACAAACCAGAGUGAUCUCUUGGUUUUGUAAAAAUACAUAUAUAUAUAUGUGAGUUAAAAAAAAAAAAAAGACAUGAAGAAUGUACAAAAAUUAAUAGUGGUUAUGCUUGGGUUGUGGAUAUUUGUCUUUAACAUUUGCAUUUAUGUUUUUCUAAGUUUUCUUAGAAACGUUAUAUUUUGAGAGAAAAUGCAUGUUAAUUUCCAGUUAUCAAGGGAGGGGGAAAAUGUAGGGAGGAAAGAAGGAUAUGGCAGGAAAAGAUUUAGUUUUAACGGAAAUGAGCAGAUCUCUUAAAAUCAAGGUGGCUUGAGAAGAGGCUUGGUAGAGCAAACUCUGGUUCAGUGGAAUUAUCCAAAUGUACGUACAGUUUCAUGCCCUUUUCACUUUCCCAUUUAAAAAAAAAAAAGGUCCCAACACCAUCAUACUCAGGUACACAAGAUUAAAUUAUUUAAGCCUAGAAUGGCAUUUAGGGAAGUCUGGAGUUGUGGUUCAGAGGACAGAGCAUUCCUUGGAGUGUGGCCCAUACUAAGAGCCCUAUACUCAGUUGAGAUGGAUUUAUGAAGUGGGCACCAGAAAGCCCAGAAAUCUGUCCUGUCAUUUACACUUCUUGAAAAUGGAAGCCUCACUUAGAAAAUUGAAAAGGACCUUCUGCCCCACGCAAACUAUAGAAACCUGAAAGUGGUCAAGAGACUGUUCUUGAAUGUGAUUCCUAUUUCUCAGUACAUUCUUUAUUGAGGUAUAUUUAAUCUAGUUUUACAGAGCUUGACUGAAGGGGGUGCAUGUGAUGGAUGUUGACCAGAACUUGGAUUAGAGAAGACUGGGGAUCAAAGCCCUGGACAAGCUGCAGUGGAUACCUUGGCUUGAGGAUCACCAGCGCAGAAUUUGACUCCUGUUCGUCUUUGAAUUUGUAGCUGGCAUAAUCCAGUGGGGCAGGAAGCAACUUGGGGAUUCAGACAUUUGCUUAUUUCUCCUUCUUGGGUGAAUUCCUAAGCGUGGCAUCGCCAGGUUGUAUGGUAGAUCAACUUUAAAAUGCAACUAAAAUGAUCCAUUCAACUGAGAAGAACCCCACACCCCUUCACCCCCACCCAGUACCCAGCAAGCUAUUUCCCUGAGCCUCCAGCCUGGAUGGAGCAAGUCUACCCUCCUGCUUCUCUGCUUCAUCUCCUUACUGCGGUUGCUGUGGGGCUCUCACGGCUGCGAACACACGUGACCCAGGAGGAAACGAGUCCUUAAUCUACGUUCCACACAGGGCAGCUCCACUCAGGAAUCAUUAAUCCCGUGCUCACAAGGUGACUCCAGGGUGCUUAUUACUAGGGA